RNAcentral lists this ribosomal RNA (461 nucleotides) under uncultured bacterium. Its description in RNAcentral is "bacterial SSU rRNA". It matches the Rfam family "Bacterial small subunit ribosomal RNA", at positions 28 to 506 of the family's 1533-position model. The record is from RNAcentral.
GACGAACGCUGGCGGCGCGCCUAACACAUGCAAGUCGAACGAGCGAGAGAGAGCUUGCUUUCUCGAGCGAGUGGCGAACGGGUGAGUAACGCGUGAGGAACCUGCCUCAAAGAGGGGGACAACAGUUGGAAACGACUGCUAAUACCGCAUAAGCCCACGGGUCGGCAUCGACCAGAGGGAAAAGGAGCAAUCCGCUUUGAGAUGGCCUCGCGUCCGAUUAGCUAGUUGGUGAGGUAAUGGCCCACCAAGGCGACGAUCGGUAGCCGGACUGAGAGGUUGAACGGCCACAUUGGGACUGAGACACGGCCCAGACUCCUACGGGAGGCAGCAGUGGGGAAUAUUGCACAAUGGGGGGCAACCCUGAUCCAGCGACGCCGCGUGAGGAGAGUUUCGGAUUGUAAACCUCUAGUUGACGGAGAAAAAAUGAAUGGUAUCCGUUUAGAAAGCACGGCUAACUACGU